GUAGAAAAAAAAAAAUAGUAGGUCUACCGUACUAUUAGAAGUAUAAUAGCUCGUAUGCUCUUAAGUUUCUAGUCAUUCAUCAAUUUUAAUGGAUGAUUACAAUAAGAGAAAAAAAACAAAUUUGAGAAAAAUUUUAAAAAAGGAGAUAUUGAGACAUCUAAUUUUUCUCCGAUUUCUCUUCUUUUUCUCAUCUUAACUGCUUAUCAAAAUUGAUGAAUGGUUAGAAAUUUAAAAGUAUAUAGGUUAUUGUACUCCUAAUAAUAUAGUAGUGUUAUUCUGUCUGUUUGUCUGUCUGUCUGUCUCUCUCUCUAUAUAUAUAUAUGAUUAC
Molecule: long non-coding RNA, 328 nt
Filed under: Ananas comosus (pineapple)
Lineage: Eukaryota; Viridiplantae; Streptophyta; Magnoliopsida; Poales; Bromeliaceae
Description: long non-coding RNA (ACOM_LNC000055)
Source: RNAcentral